AAAGAAACCAACAGGGAUUGCCUCAGUAACGGCGAGUGAAGCGGCAAAAGCUCAAAUUUGAAAUCUGGCUCCAUGCGGAGCCCGAGUUGUAAUUUGGAGAGGACACUUCGGGUGCGGCCACGGCAUAAGUUCCUUGGAACAGGACGUCAUAGAGGGUGAGAAUCCCGUCUUUGGCUGCUGGACCGCGCCCAUGCGAAGUUCCUUCGACGAGUCGAGUUGUUUGGGAAUGCAGCUCUAAGUGGGUGGUAAAUUUCAUCUAAAGCUAAAUAUUGGCCGGAGACCGAUAGCGCACAAGUAGAGUGAUCGAAAGGUUAAAAGCACCUUGAAAAGGGAGUUAAAUAGCACGUGAAAUUGUUGAAAGGGAAGCGCUUGCAACCAGACUCGGUCGUGGGGGCUCAGCGGGCAUGCGUGCCCGUGUACUCCCCCAUGCUCCGGGCCAGCAUCAGUUCUGGCGGUUGGUUAAAGGCCUCUGGAAUGUAUCGUCCUCCGGGACGUCUUAUAGCCAGGGGCGCAAUGCGGCCAGCCGGGACUGAGGAACGCGCUUCGGCACGGAUGCUGGCAU
RNAcentral lists this ribosomal RNA (562 nucleotides) under Coccidioides immitis. RNAcentral's name for it is "eukaryotic LSU rRNA". It matches the Rfam family "Eukaryotic large subunit ribosomal RNA", at positions 58 to 632 of the family's 3401-position model. The record is from RNAcentral. Lineage: Eukaryota; Fungi; Ascomycota; Eurotiomycetes; Onygenales; Onygenaceae.